UAUUUGCCUUCGGGUUUAUAUGAUCCGUUCAUCCUAUUUCGACUCUCUAAAAUUCAAGAGUCUAUCCUAAAUUGAGGUAAAUUGUAUGGCUUUCCAAAUACCGUUUCGAUUCCUAACAUCACUGAAGAGACAUUAAUUGUCGAAAUCCGGAUAUGGUGUACAAAUUUUUGCACCUCAUGUUUGCGGUAUACCAUCUUUUCCGCAAGUUUAUUGUUUUCUAUUUGGUAUUAAAUUAAUAAAUUAAAUAAAGAUCCAUUUUGUUA
Mytilus californianus (California mussel) is the source of this 263-nucleotide long non-coding RNA. RefSeq lists it as uncharacterized. The record is from RefSeq and is a predicted model, not a curated record. Lineage: Eukaryota; Metazoa; Mollusca; Bivalvia; Mytilida; Mytilidae. The transcript is spliced from 2 exons.